UUCGCCCAUUAAAGCGGUACGCGAGCUGGGUUCAGAACGUCGUGAGACAGUUCGGUCCCUAUCCGUCGUGGGCGCAGGAAGUCUGAGAGGCGCUGUCCUUAGUACGAGAGGACCGGGAUGGACACACCGCUGGUGUACCAGUUGUUCCGCCAGGAGCACAGCUGGGUAGCUACGUGUGGCAAGGAUAAGUGCUGAAAGCAUCUAAGCAUGAAGCCCCCCUCAAGAUGAAACUUCCCAUCACGUUAAGUGAGUAAGAUCCCUCAGAGACGAUGAGGUUGAUAGGUCCGAGGUGGAAGCGUGGCGACACGUGGAGCUGACGGAUACUAAUCGAUCGAGGACUUAACUA
Molecule: ribosomal RNA, 346 nt
Filed under: Lentibacillus persicus
Lineage: Bacteria; Bacillati; Bacillota; Bacilli; Caryophanales; Bacillaceae
Description: bacterial LSU rRNA
Rfam family: Bacterial large subunit ribosomal RNA
Source: RNAcentral